UUACGAUCACAACACGUUGAAACACUGGUUCCCGUAUGAUCACCAAAGUUAAGCAACGUCGAGCUUGGUCAGUACCUAGAAGAGUGACCUCUUGGGAAUACCAGGUGCUGUAA
Molecule: non-coding RNA, 113 nt
Organism: Acanthosepion pharaonis
Lineage: Eukaryota; Metazoa; Mollusca; Cephalopoda; Sepiida; Sepiidae
Source: the annotation of a GenBank genome assembly